UACGAAGGGGGCUAGCGUUGUUCGGAAUCACUGGGCGUAAAGCGCAUGCAGGCGGCUCGUUAAGUCGGGGGUGAAAGCCCGCGGCUCAACCUCGGAACUGCCUUCGAUACUGGCGAUCUUGAGUCCGGGAGAGGUGAGUGGAACUCCGAGUGUAGAGGUGAAAUUCGUAGAUAUUCGGAAGAACACCAGUGGCGAAGGCGGCUCACUGGCCCGGUACUGACGCUGAGAUGCGAAAGCGUGGGGAGCAAACAGG
RNAcentral lists this ribosomal RNA (253 nucleotides) under uncultured bacterium. RNAcentral's name for it is "partial 16S ribosomal RNA". It matches the Rfam family "Bacterial small subunit ribosomal RNA", at positions 524 to 776 of the family's 1533-position model. The record is from RNAcentral.